Molecule: long non-coding RNA, 4000 nt
Organism: Dermochelys coriacea (leatherback sea turtle)
Lineage: Eukaryota; Metazoa; Chordata; Testudines; Dermochelyidae
Exons: 2
Source: RefSeq, a predicted model, not a curated record
UUUUUGCUCCAGUAGGUCUGUUAGUCUAUAAGGUGCCACAGGACUCUUUGCCGCUUUUACAGAUCCAGACUAACACGGCUACUCCUCUGAUACAUGCUUAAUUUGGUUCCACAAGAAACUCUAUAGGUGUGUAAGCACUUGACUCCAGGCAGCUGGUUCUUGUUCAUGGAUCACUAAGUAGAAGUAGGCACUUCCCUGCAACCUGAACUUAGGCACAUAGCUCCAUGAGAGGGUUGGGGCUUAGCACACACUCCUCUCCUCAUCAUCAUCCUUUGGCUAGUUUAGGUAGCUCCCCACCUAGUGUGCUGACUAUGUGGAUCUCAUUUGCAGGCACCUGUCUCUUCCCAUGCAUUGCACAAAGAGCUGAGUUGUUCAAUGUGCACAGAUAUUCCACUGCCUUUCAAAAAGACCUGCAUCUUCUGUGUUUAUGAUGGAGGAUCCCCAAAAGAAUGCAUUGUUUGACUAAAGAAUAAUGUUACAGUGCCAACUUAAAUAAUCAACUUUUGAGCUAAACUGAGUGAGUAUUUGCUCAAAUUGGCAUUUGACCCUGAGCAGGAGUAACAUGUUCUUUAGCUAUAUCCAGAUAUGUAACCAAUAGGAAAUGAUAUAGUAUCCUUAAUUUUUUACUCAUCUUUCACUUAAAUGAGAUAUUCAGACAUAAAAUCUAACACUCAUGGACAUCAUUGUGGCUUGUAAUGCUCCCUGGAGAAGUGUGAGACAACAGUAAAUAUAUUGGCUAGUUUAGGUAACUCCCCACUGAGUGUGCUGACUAUGUGGAUCUCACCAAUCCAUUAUACAUCUAUGGGGAAGUAUAACAAAUGUUAAUAUUAUAAUAUUAAUUCAAGCAUAAUGAGUAGAUAUUAUUAAUUUAAGUAAUGUGUUCCUUAUUUUAACUGAAUAUAAUAUAAUAAAAUUUAACAGAGUUUAAAAAAAAUUAAAAUGUAAAAGCCAUUAGUUCACCUUUUGUAUUUAAGGCUUAAUGGUUAUUAAUGUAUUAGUUAUUAAUUGAUUAAUAUAUCAAGACUUUAAAAGAGGACUUGGGUUCCCAAAUUUAAACUUCUAUCAUGUUACUCUUCAAGUCAGGGCCUGCCUUUUACUGUGUUUGCAGAGAACCCACUCUAAUGAUCCCUGAUGGUGACUGGGGGCUUUGGGCAUUUUUAUAAUACAAAUAGAUAAUAAUAUUGCUAGUGGCUUGCCAUAGUUACAUAGUCUCCUUAAACCAGCUUGGCCACACCCCAUCUGCCUACCUUUUAGAAAAAUCUAAAAAUAACCAUGAUUUUGUCUUGUCCAGUCUAGUUAUUUUAAGGAAACCUGGUAAUUUAAAUAUGAUUGAAUGAUCUGGAGUGAAUUUCUGAGUUAACAGCUGCCAGAAUUGUCACAGCAGUCCUUUAUUUGGAUAAUGUUACAGUCAAUGUUACAGUCAAAAUAGAUCUGGAAGCCCUUUGUUGGGGGGAAUUGGAGCCCAGAUGGUGUCUUUUAGAGAGUUAUCGAGGAAAUUUUAGUCUGGAGUAUGCUAAAUUAAGGUAUAGCAAAUGAGUGAGAGACUUAUUAUUCAGCAUUUUCUUGCCUCUCCUAUAGUCUUCCCUUGCGCCUUCAUUAUUUGAUUUUCAGAACUCGACAUCAUGUCAAAAAUACAGUCUGAUGGAGUUUAAUUAUCCCAUUACUUUACUUCAGUCAUCUGACUUUGAUUGGUAGGUAUUUCUUGCUGGAAAUAGUAUGAGAAAUCGUUUAUGGUGAAUUAUUUUUCUUUUUGAGGGAUAUGUUUUAAUACUGUAACACUCCCAACCAGUGAUUGGGGCUUUUUUGCUAUAGAUGGAAAGUUGAUUGUAAAAGAAGGGUAGAAUGAGAAAAGAGAAUUGGAAGUUUGUUCCCCAGUAGUUGUCCAGAAAAGAUUUUAAACUUUUGUUAAAAGAAAAGGAGUACUUGUGGCACCUUAGAGACUAGCAAAUUUAUUUGAGCAUAAGCUACAGCUCACUUCAUCGGAUGCAUUCCGUGGAAAAUACAGUGUUGUUGUUUAUUUAUUAUUAACCAAACCUACUUUCAGGAGUUGGUUUGAGGCGUUGCCUAAGUGAGGAUUUGAGCCAUGGUGUGCUGGACUGGUUCAGAGCCUGGCUUUGCAUCAGUGUAGCUGACCCCGGCUUGAAACCAGGAAUUUUUCUCAAAAUUAUUCUCAAGGAAAGAUUGGAUAACAGAACGGCUUAAAACAAGCGGCCUAAGUGGACUGGUGGAUACUGUAGAUGUGGAAGGUGGAAAUUGGAUUUGUAUUCGCUGACCCUUUCCUAGAACUAGUGAGCACUGGACUAGGCUAAUAGAAAACAUUGGGGGGAAGGGGAGGGAAUAUAGUAUUUUAAAAUAGCACACAAGCUGCAGUUGUUGAUUCUACUUGAUAAGCCUCUCUUCAGAGACUUUUCGAAAGUGUUUAAUUUCCUAUGCAUACCUGCUGCCAGGGAACUUUUGUCAAGGCAUUGUUGGGACCAGUACUUAGUCAUUGUUCUGCAGGUAUGUGGGAUGUUGUCACAAAUGAACUUUGUCUUGAAGCUGCGGGGUAACGUCUCCAAGCCUAGUGCCAUUUGAGAGACAUUUUACUGGGGAAAAUAGCCAAGAAUGGUGUGGUACCUGUGGGGAUCAGGGAAGCACAGACUCAUGUUUAUCACGAGUUUUGUAAUUAUGGUUUGAAUCUUGGUUUUCACUUUAAUUUGAGAGGAUUGCAUUCUACUUACUAAUGGAUUUUUCACGUGUCAGUAACUGGCAAAGGAGCUGCCCAUUUCCUUCAGACUCUGUGUUUUGCAUUGUAGAUUUAGUGGCAUUUUACUGUUCCAUUUAAAAGAAUAAAGUAUUCGAUAGAGGCCUUGCAUGUGGGACUCGGGUGUGCUAGCAGGAGCAGCUCAGUUCUGUGGCACCGCCUUUCUGCUACUCAGAGAAUGAAUUGCAGAGCCGCAGCUUCAAUUCCGGCAGCUCUUUAUUCAAUAAAGUAAGAGGAACUGCUGGUUCCUGUGCGGCCUCGUUAGCCCCCGGAGAAGCGUGAACCGCUCCGCCUGGUUUUAGUCGGUGCUCCAUGGCAAAGAGGGGACACGAUUGCUCCGAAAAGACGACAGUCUGACCCAGCCCGCCCGUUGAAAAACCGUGGUCUUUACCUCGGCAGAUGCUCAGCAGAAUUCAAAUUGCAGGGGCUCGCCCCGUCUUAUGGGGGCGCCCAAAGCUCCCACUGAGACACUAGCAAUGCAAGAUUGGGACCAUACAUGAAAGCAGAUGCACGUCUCUAGGCUGAUCCUUUCCUCAGGGUAUCAGUGUGUCCUGGUAACCAGAAAGUUCAGUGGCUACCCACUGAUGAAUGCAUCACUGGGCAGAUCUAACUAUGGACUUUCCAGCGGCCCCUUCACUUCAGUGGGCGUUUUCAGUUCGCUCUGCUUGCAGCGCUCCGUUUGUUAAGAUGCUUUUUUUUUUCUCCUCUGGAGCAAAGUAUAUGGUGCCUGCCCUGCCUUUGCGAAGAUACUACGUGUGUAUUGAGUAAGCCAGCUUGCUGGCUCCUGAGCCUGCAGUCUCUACUCAGGCAAGACUCCCACUGACGUCAAUGGGAGGUUUGCCUAAGAGGCCUGUAAAAUCGUCCUCCCGGGCGGUUUUUUCUUUUGUUUCCGAGUUGGACUCUUCAGGUAGCGAUGGGGGAAAGUUUAGCGGGCAUCGAAAAUCAGCGUUUGCUCCAUUUGCAGCUUACGCAAGCAGGGCAAUAACCAGUGACUGUGACUGCUAGCAAAAUCAGGGGCGUGCUUGUAGUAACUGCCCCAACCGGGGCAAUGCCUCCUUUGGUUUGGGGGGAGUCCAGGGGAGCUUUUCGUUGAACAUCACAGAGUAGCGGGCACUACUGCAGGAUUUUCCCAUUCCCCAUCGUUACAGCCAAAUAGGCAAUCACACUAAUAAAUAGUGGAAAUGCUCUUUUGCCCUCUGUAGUGUUUAAAGAAGCAAAAACAAAACAAAAAAGCAACAACAGCUCCUCGCUUACAAA